CCUACGGGUGGCAGCAGUGAGGAAUAUUGGUCAAUGGCCGGAAGGCUGAACCAGCCAAGCCGCGUGAAGGACGAAGGUGCCAAGCAUUGUAAACUUCUUUUGUCAAGGGACAAAAUCAGGCUCGAGAGCCUGACCGAGGGUACUUGAAGCAAAAGCAUCGGCUAACUCCGGGCCAGCAGCCGCGGUACUACGGGGGAUGCGAGGGUUAUCCGGAUUGAUUGGGGUUAAGGGGUGCGUAGGCGGGCUGUUAAGUCAGCGGUAAAAGCCCGGGGCCCACCCCCGGCGAGCCGUUGAAACUGGCUGUCUUGAGAUGUCGAGAGGUGUGCGGAAUGCGCAGUGUAGCGGUGAAAUGCUUAGAGAUCGCGCAGAACUCCGAUGGCGAAGGCAGCAUACCGGCGGCGAUCUGACGCUGAGGCACGAAAGCGUGGGUAUCGAACAGGAUUAGAUACCCCGGUAGUC
Molecule: ribosomal RNA, 459 nt
Filed under: uncultured bacterium
Lineage: Bacteria
Description: partial 16S ribosomal RNA
Rfam family: Bacterial small subunit ribosomal RNA
Source: RNAcentral